UAGGUCAGAGACUGUAUAGUCGCUCUGGAUAAGAGCGUCUGCUAAAUGACAAAAA
Molecule: non-coding RNA, 55 nt
Organism: Salmo salar (Atlantic salmon)
Lineage: Eukaryota; Metazoa; Chordata; Actinopteri; Salmoniformes; Salmonidae
Source: Rfam